RNAcentral lists this ribosomal RNA (373 nucleotides) under uncultured organism. RNAcentral describes it as "partial 16S ribosomal RNA". It matches the Rfam family "Bacterial small subunit ribosomal RNA", at positions 525 to 896 of the family's 1533-position model. The record is from RNAcentral.
GGGAGGGGUGCAAGCGUUAAUCGGAAUUACUGGGCGUAAAGCGCACGCAGGCGGUUUGUUAAGUCAGAUGUGAAAUCCCCGGGCUCAACCUGGGAACUGCAUCUGAUACUGGCAAGCUUGAGUCUCGUAGAGGGGGGUAGAAUUCCAGGUGUAGCGGUGAAAUGGGUAGAGAUCUGGAGGAAUACCGGUGGCGAAGGCGGCCCCCUGGACGAAGACUGACGCUCAGGUGCGAAAGCGUGGGGAGCAAACAGGAUUAGAUACCCUGGUAGUCCACGCCGUAAACGAUGUCGACUUGGAGGUUGUGCCCUUGAGGCGUGGCUUCCGGAGCUAACGCGUUAAGUCGACCGCCUGGGGAGUACGGCCGCAAAGGUUA